AACGAACGCUGGCGGCAUGCCUAACACAUGCAAGUCGAACGAUCCCUUCGGGGAUAGUGGCGCACGGGUGUGUAACGCGUGGGAACCUGCCCUUAGGUUCGGAAUAACUCAGAGAAAUUUGAGCUAAUACCGGAUAAUGUCUUCGGACCAAAGAUUUAUCGCCUUUGGAUGGGCCCGCGUUGGAUUAGCUAGUUGGUGGGGUAAAGGCCUACCAAGGCGACGAUCCAUAGCUGGUCUGAGAGGAUGAUCAGCCACACUGGGACUGAGACACGGCCCAGACUCCUACGGGAGGCAGCAGUGGGGAAUAUUGGACAAUGGGCGAAAGCCUGAUCCAGCAAUGCCGCGUGAGUGAUGAAGGCCUUAGGGUUGUAAAGCUCUUUUACCCGGGAUGAUAAUGACAGUACCGGGAGAAUAAGCCCCGGCUAACUCCGUG
Molecule: ribosomal RNA, 433 nt
Filed under: uncultured bacterium
Lineage: Bacteria
Description: partial 16S ribosomal RNA
Rfam family: Bacterial small subunit ribosomal RNA
Source: RNAcentral